UGCCGCGUGCGUGAAGAAGGCCUUCGGGUUGUAAACUGCUUUUGUUAGGAAAGAAAAGGCUCGGGUUAAUACCUGGGGCACCUGACGGUACCGGAAGAAUAAGCACCGGCUAACUACGUGCCAGCAGCCGCGGUAAUACGUAGGGUGCAAGCGUUAAUCGGAAUUACUGGGCGUAAAGCGUGCGCAGGCGGUUUUGUAAGACAGGUGUGAAAUCCCCGGGCUCAACCUGGGAAUUGCGCUUGUGACUGCAAGGCUGGAGUGCGGCAAAGGGGGAUGGAAUUCCGCGUGUAGCAGUGAAAUGCGUAGAUAUGCGGAGGAACACCGAUGGCGAAGGCAAUCUCCUGGGCCUGCACUGACGCUCAUGCACGAAAGCGUGGGGAGCAAACAGGAUUAGAUACCCUGGUAGUCCACGCCCUAAACGAUGUCAACUGGUUGUUGGGUCUCUUCUGACUCGGUAACGCAGCUAACGCGUGAAGUUGACCGCCUGGGGAGUACGGUCGCAAGGUUGAAACUCAAAGGA
Molecule: ribosomal RNA, 520 nt
Filed under: uncultured Hydrogenophaga sp.
Lineage: Bacteria; Pseudomonadati; Pseudomonadota; Betaproteobacteria; Burkholderiales; Comamonadaceae
Description: bacterial SSU rRNA
Rfam family: Bacterial small subunit ribosomal RNA
Source: RNAcentral